UCGCACAUAUAUUCAUAGACAUCAAUCUGGGACGAAUUCCAUAGAACAUCAGAGAUAUAUAAUAUCGGCUGGGGAGGAGUUCGAUCAAGAGAAAAAGAAUAUUAUAAUUCUUUUGACACGGCUGCGACAUAAGGAAAAAAGAAGAAAAGCCGAUUGGUUCAAGUUUCAAGGCCGCGAUUCAAGAUUCGAUUACGGGUCGGAAAUGAAGUUUUCCUCAAAAGCAUUCUAGUCUCUACCGAGACUGUAGCAAAAGAAAGGGUCCAGAGCUUGGACCCAAAUGAUCUAGCUGGUGGUACAGAGAUUGGACAAGAAUGAAGUGAGGUAAACGUUCAAGUACCAAUAAAAAAGAUGAAAACUUGGUAAGAUCAUAUGGUUUAUUUUCUACAAUUCAAGAUUGUAUUGGUGCAUCCAUCGCAUGGCCAUAUCCAUUCAUCUCGGUGGUCCAUGAGGAUUGAGGACGCAUGAUGACUCAAGAUUUUAUGCUUCUUAUUUUUUUAAUUGCUUUUAAUUUCUUCGUUAAAUGUUAAGACUUUAUGUUAGAUAAUGUUAUAACAUAUUUAUGGUUAGUGUUUUUGUUAUGAACAUGCUUAUUUGAAAUAUAAUGAAGUUUUAUUUCUU
Molecule: long non-coding RNA, 618 nt
Filed under: Helianthus annuus (common sunflower)
Lineage: Eukaryota; Viridiplantae; Streptophyta; Magnoliopsida; Asterales; Asteraceae
Description: hypothetical non coding rna
Source: RNAcentral